RNAcentral lists this ribosomal RNA (579 nucleotides) under uncultured bacterium. Its description in RNAcentral is "bacterial SSU rRNA". It matches the Rfam family "Bacterial small subunit ribosomal RNA", at positions 338 to 916 of the family's 1533-position model. The record is from RNAcentral.
CCUACGGGAGGCAGCAGUAGGGAAUAUUGGGCAAUGGAUGCAAGUCUGACCCAGCCAUGCCGCGUGCCGGAUGAAGGCCCUCAGGGUUGUAAACGGCUUUUAUUCGGGAAGAAGAGCAGGGAUGCGUCCCUGUGUGACGGUACCGAAUGAAUAAGCACCGGCUAACUCCGUGCCAGCAGCCGCGGUAAUACGGAGGGUGCGAGCGUUGUCCGGAUUUAUUGGGUUUAAAGGGUGCGUAGGUGGCUUUUUAAGUCAGUGGUGAAAUACAGCCGCUCAACGGUUGAGGUGCCAUUGAUACUGAAAAGCUUGAAACAAGUGGAGGCUGCCGGAAUGGAUGGUGUAGCGGUGAAAUGCAUAGAUAUCAUCCAGAACACCGAUUGCGAAGGCAGGUGGCUACGUUUGAUUUGACACUGAGGCACGAAAGCAUGGGGAGCAAACAGGAUUAGAUACCCUGGUAGUCCAUGCCGUAAACGAUGAGGACUCGCUGUUGGUCUGUCAAGGAUCAGCGGCUUAGGGAAACCGUUAAGUCCUCCACCUGGGGAGUACGCCGGCAACGGUGAAACUCAAAGGAAUUGACGG